CUGUGAGGCAUGCUGGAGGUAUCAGAAGUGCGAAUGCUGACAUAAGUAACGAUAAAGCGGGUGAAAAGCCCGCUCGCCGGAAGACCAAGGGUUCCUGUCCAACGUUAAUCGGGGCAGGGUGAGUCGACCCCUAAGGCGAGGCCGAAAGGCGUAGUCGAUGGGAAACAGGUUAAUAUUCCUGUACUUGGUGUUACUGCGAAGGGGGGACGGAGAAGGCUAUGUUGGCCGGGCGACGGUUGUCCCGGUUUAAGCGUGUAGGCUGGUUUUCCAGGCAAAUCCGGAAAAUCAAGGCUGAGGCGUGAUGACGAGGCACUACGGUGCUGAAGCAACAAAUGCCCUGCUUCCAGGAAAAGCCUCUAAGCAUCAGGUAACAUCAAAUCGUACCCCAAACCGACACAGGUGGUCAGGUAGAGAAUACCAAGGCGCUUGAGAGAACUCGGGUGAAGGAACUAGGCAAAAUGGUGCCGUAACUUCGGGAGAAGGCACGCUGAUAUGUAGGUGAAGCGACUUGCUCGUGGAGCUGAAAUCAGUCGAAGAUACCAGCUGGCUGCAACUGUUUAUUAAAAACACAGCACUGUGCAAACACGAAAGUGGACGUAUACGGUGUGACGCCUGCCCGGUGCCGGAAGGUUAAUUGAUGGGGUUAGCGGUAACGCGAAGCUCUUGAUCGAAGCCCCGGUAAACGGCGGCCGUAACUAUAACGGUCCUAAGGUAGCGAAAUUCCUUGUCGGGUAAGUUCCGACCUGCACGAAUGGCGUAAUGAUGGCCAGGCUGUCUCCACCCGAGACUCAGUGAAAUUGAACUCGCUGUGAAGAUGCAGUGUACCCGCGGCAAGACGGAAAGACCCCGUGAACCUUUACUAUAGCUUGACACUGAACAUUGAGCCUUGAUGUGUAGGAUAGGUGGGAGGCUUUGAAGUGUGGACGCCAGUCUGCAUGGAGCCGACCUUGAAAUACCACCCUUUAAUGUUUGAUGUUCUAACGUUGGCCCCUAAUCGGGGUUGCGGACAGUGUCUGGUGGGUAGUUUGACUGGGGCGGUCUCCUCCUAAAGAGUAACGGAGGAGCACGAAGGUUGGCUAAUCCUGGUCGGACAUCAGGAGGUUAGUGCAAUGGCAUAAGCCAGCUUGACUGCGAGCGUGACGGCGCGAGCAGGUGCGAAAGCAGGUCAUAGUGAUCCGGUGGUUCUGAAUGGAAGGGCCAUCGCUCAACGGAUAAAAGGUACUCCGGGGAUAACAGGCUGAUACCGCCCAAGAGUUCAUAUCGACGGCGGUGUUUGGCACCUCGAUGUCGGCUCAUCACAUCCUGGGGCUGAAGUAGGUCCCAAGGGUAUGGCUGUUCGCCAUUUAAAGUGGUACGCGAGCUGGGUUUAGAACGUCGUGAGACAGUUCGGUCCCUAUCUGCCGUGGGCGCUGGAGAACUGAGGGGGGCUGCUCCUAGUACGAGAGGACCGGAGUGGACGCAUCACUGGUGUUCGGGUUGUCAUGCCAAUGGCACUGCCCGGUAGCUAAAUGCGGAAGAGAUAAGUGCUGAAAGCAUCUAAGCACGAAACUUGCCCCG
Molecule: ribosomal RNA, 1557 nt
Filed under: Escherichia coli
Lineage: Bacteria; Pseudomonadati; Pseudomonadota; Gammaproteobacteria; Enterobacterales; Enterobacteriaceae
Description: partial 23S ribosomal RNA
Rfam family: Bacterial large subunit ribosomal RNA
Source: RNAcentral